CCCAGGACUGGUGGCCAGGACCUGGGCAGUGUGUGUGCCACUGAAAAUCAGCUUGCGUGCUGCUUUUGGCACGUGUGUCAUAAGUUGCCUACCCUUGAAAUUGAUUAUGCUGA
Molecule: long non-coding RNA, 113 nt
Organism: Gopherus evgoodei (Goodes thornscrub tortoise)
Lineage: Eukaryota; Metazoa; Chordata; Testudines; Testudinidae
Exons: 3
Source: RefSeq, a predicted model, not a curated record